Molecule: ribosomal RNA, 585 nt
Filed under: uncultured bacterium
Lineage: Bacteria
Description: bacterial SSU rRNA
Rfam family: Bacterial small subunit ribosomal RNA
Source: RNAcentral
CCUACGGGAGGCAGCAGUGGGGAAUUUUGGACAAUGGGUGCAAGCCUGAUCCAGCAAUGCCGCGUGAGUGAAGAAGGCCUUCGGGUUGUAAAGCUCUUUUGUCAGGGAAGAAACGGUGAGGGCUAAUAUCUCUUGCUAAUGACGGUACCUGAAGAAUAAGCACCGGCUAACUACGUGCCAGCAGCCGCGGUAAUACGUAGGGUGCAAGCGUUAAUCGGAAUUACUGGGCGUAAAGCGUGCGCAGGCGGUUUUGUAAGUCUGUCGUGAAAUCCCCGGGCUCAACCUGGGAAUUGCGAUGGAGACUGCAAGGCUAGAAUCUGGCAGAGGGGGGUAGAAUUCCACGUGUAGCAGUGAAAUGCGUAGAGAUGUGGAGGAACACCGAUGGCGAAGGCAGCCCCCUGGGUCAAGAUUGACGCUCAUGCACGAAAGCGUGGGGAGCAAACAGGAUUAGAUACCCUGGUAGUCCACGCCCUAAACGAUGUCUACUAGUUGUCGGGUUUUAAUUAACUUGGUAACGCAGCUAACGCGUGAAGUAGACCGCCUGGGGAGUACGGUCGCAAGNUUAAAACUCAAAUGAAUUGACGG